GCUGUGCCCGGGCACUGCCCGGACGGGGAAAGGGCCAGGGGAAGCGCCGCUCUACCAGGGCACUGCCGGUACCGGAGGGGACCCCGGGAGGCAGCGGGGAAGGGGUUCCGGGAUGCUUCGCUCGCAGCUGGUUUUCUCUCCUGUGCGUUUCCAGCACAGCCCAGCCAGCGGCACGGGGCACUUCGUGUAAGGAAGCACAGGAGGGGUCCAAACGCGUUGUGUUCAGAGGAAUAGAAUAUUUUAAGGUGCACACUCCAAUUGCUACCAAGCCAUUACCUUCCCUGUGACCCAGCGUUGCUGAAUUUAUCCCCUGGUAGCUGACUCCCGGCAUGAGUCAGGGAAACAAAAAUGGAGAGGUUUGGAAGAUCUUCUCCAUACUGAAUGGUGAAGUCUAUGUGCUGCAGAACGAUGUUUAUACUUUCCUCAUCAGAGCGAUCCAAAGGCAGGAAUCGAACCAUACCAUAAUCAUCAAUCUGUGGAAGGAUUCAAAGGAUGUUGCAAAUCCAUUUUGGUCAUGACGUUGAUUUGUGGAAUCUCCAAAGAUAUCAUUGCACUGAGAGCUGCCAGGACUCCAGAAAUAA
Pseudopodoces humilis (Tibetan ground-tit) is the source of this 581-nucleotide non-coding RNA. The record is from RefSeq and is a predicted model, not a curated record. Lineage: Eukaryota; Metazoa; Chordata; Aves; Passeriformes; Paridae.